Long non-coding RNA from Brassica napus (rape), 426 nucleotides. RefSeq lists it as uncharacterized. The record is from RefSeq and is a predicted model, not a curated record. The transcript is spliced from 2 exons. NCBI's taxonomy places the organism in Eukaryota, Viridiplantae, Streptophyta, Magnoliopsida, Brassicales, Brassicaceae.
GAAAAAACUCUCUGAAGAAGUGAAGACAGUUCUCUGGAAAUCUGUGCAGGUUCUGACUUUUAUACUAUGAGAACAUCUAGAUGUUAUGCAACUGGAGAUAGAUUACUGAGUUGUUUUCUACGUGAGUGCAGGCAAGGUUUGAAAUUGAUGAAGACUACCAUAGGGAUGCAGUGCUUAAGCAGAUGGGAGUGUUGUGGAGAUCAUCGAAGUCACGUCUUGUCACCCAAAUCAAUGAAUCCGAUAAUAACCAACAAAGGAUGAAGCUCAGACCGAAGAAUGUUCCUCCGGUUGAAUGGCGCAAAUUUGUGAAGUUGAAAACAAGCCAAGAAUUCAAGGUUGUGAGUGAUAGCUACAAGGAGAGAAGACGCAAACAGAUACCUCACACUUGUAGUCGGAAGGGAAUGGUUAGACUAGCAGAAGACAUGG